AUGUUGCCUCGGCGGAUCAGCCCGUUCCUCGGAACGGCCCGCCGCAGGACCCUAAACUCUGUUUUUAGUGGAACUUCUGAGUAAAAAAACAAAUAAAUCAAAACUUUCAACAACGGAUCUCUUGGUUCUGGCAUCGAUGAAGAACGCAGCAAAAUGCGAUAAGUAAUGUGAAUUGCAGAAUUCAGUGAAUCAUCGAAUCUUUGAACGCACAUUGCGCCCGCCAGUAUUCUGGCGGGCAUGCCUGUUCGAGCGUCAUUUCAACCCUCAAGCCCAGCUUGGUGUUGGGAGCUGUCGUCUGACACUCCCCAAAUACAUUGGCGGUCACGUCGAGCUUCCAUAGCGUAGUAAUUUACACAUCGUUACUGGUAAUCGUCGCGGCCACGCCGUUAAACCCCAACUUCUGAAUGUUGACCUCGGAUCAGGUAGGAAUACCCGCUGAACUUAAGC
This 447-nucleotide ribosomal RNA is filed under the name Fusarium sambucinum. Its description in RNAcentral is "eukaryotic LSU rRNA". The stretch from base 102 to 255 matches the Rfam family "5.8S ribosomal RNA". Lineage: Eukaryota; Fungi; Ascomycota; Sordariomycetes; Hypocreales; Nectriaceae. The record is from RNAcentral.